This 558-nucleotide ribosomal RNA is filed under the name uncultured archaeon. Its description in RNAcentral is "bacterial SSU rRNA". It matches the Rfam family "Archaeal small subunit ribosomal RNA", at positions 96 to 653 of the family's 1478-position model. The record is from RNAcentral.
ACACGUGGUCAAGCUAACCUAUGGACGUGGAUAACCUCGGGAAACUGAGAAUAAACCGCGAUGGAUCAUGAUGCCUGGAAUGGCUUAUGGUCGAAAUAGUUUACUGCCAUAGGAUGCGACUGCGGCCUAUCAGUUAGUUGGUGAGGUAAUGGCCCACCAAGACUAUUACAGGUACGGGCUCUGAGAGGAGAAGCCCGGAGAUGGGUACUGAGACACGGACCCAGGCCCUAUGGGGCGCAGCAGGCGAGAAACCUUAGCAAUGUGCGAAAGCACGACUGGGUUAGUCCGAGUGAUUCCUGCUAAAGGAAUCUUUUGCCGGUCCUAAAAGCACCGGUGAAUAAGGGGUGGGCAAGUCUGGUGUCAGCCGCCGCGGUAAUACCAGCACCUCGAGUGAUCAGGACGUUUAUUGGGCCUAAAGCAUCCGUAGCUGGCUUUGCAAGUCUCCGGUUAAAUCAACCUGCUCAACAGAUUGGCCGCUNGGAGAUACUACCAAGGCUAGGGAGUGGGAGAAGCAGACUGUAUUCCGGGGGUAGGGGUAAAUCCUUCCGAUCCCUCUGA